CAUUAUCAACCUUAGUGAGACCUUUUUAAGGUUCUCGCGUUUAUAUACUUAAAACCCAACUCUAUGAAUCAAAUAAAUUAAUUUUCUAUAAAGUUAAAUAAAGAUCACUUUCAACAACGGAUCUCUUGGCUCUCGCAUCGAUGAGGAACGUAGCGAAGUGCGAUAAGUAAUGUGAAUUGCAGAACUCCGUGGAUCAUCGAAUCUUUGAACGCAAAUUGCACUCUCUGGUAUUCCGGAGAGUAUGCCUGUUUGAGGGUCAUUAUAAUGUAAGGAUCGUUUUUGUCGCCUUCUUUUUGGGGGUGACAUUUUCGGAAUUGAGCUUUUUUCUUUUUUACCAUCCCUUCGGAAUUGUUAAAAAGAGGCUUAAAAUUGAUCGUUUAUGAUACGACUUACGUUUAAAUUACAUAGUAAGUACAUGUCAUACAUUUUAUUAGGUCGUGGCUUAGUUUGAGACAAAGUUUUCAAUGACCUAUAAUAGUUUUAUUCAUAAAAUGACCUCAAAUCAGGUAGGAAUACCCGCUGAACUUAAGCAUAUCAAUAAGCGGAGGAAAAGAAAAUAACAAUGAUUCCCUUAGUAACGGCGAGUGAAGAGGGAAUAGCUCAAAUUUUAAAUCCGUCGUUCACCGAUGGAGUUGUAAUUUGAAGAAGCGUUUUCGUCGCCUACGAUUAACCUAAGUCCUUUGGGAUAAGGCAUCAUGGAGGGUGAGAAUCCCGUAUGGUUUAUCAAGGCGUGUCCGAUACGUUUUCUAAGAGUCGAGUUGUUUGGGAUUGCAGCUCAAAAUGGGAGGUAAAUUUCUCCUAAGGCUAAAUAUAGGCGAGAGACCGAUAGCGAACAAGUACCGUGAGGGAAAGAUGAAAAGAACCUUGAAAAGGGAGUCAAAUAGUGCGUGAAAUUGUUGAAAGGGAAACGAUUGAAGUCGGUCGUACAGACGAGAAAUCAACCUCUCGAGGGUGGGUUCGUUUUGCGUAUCUGCAUUCUUGGGGUGUAUUUUCUCGUAUUGUAGGUUAGCGUCGGUUUUGGUCAUUACAAAAUGAUUGGAGGAAUGUAGCUUCGGCCUCGGUUGAAGUGUUAUAGCCUCUGGUAGAUGUAAUGAUCGGGACCGAGGAUUGCAACGGAUACCCUUACGGGCUAUCUGCCUGACCUCUGAUGCGACACUCUGGUGUUGAAAGCUUGCUUAUGAUAUCGGAGCGUUCGUUCAAAAGGUAGAGCGGA
Molecule: ribosomal RNA, 1213 nt
Filed under: uncultured fungus
Lineage: Eukaryota; Fungi
Description: eukaryotic LSU rRNA
Rfam family: Eukaryotic large subunit ribosomal RNA (bases 493-1213)
Source: RNAcentral